This is an RNA transcript of Triticum urartu, 2243 nucleotides long. It is a transcript of the gene named UDP-glycosyltransferase 87A1, with no coding region annotated. NCBI's taxonomy places the organism in Eukaryota, Viridiplantae, Streptophyta, Magnoliopsida, Poales, Poaceae. The record is from RefSeq and is a predicted model, not a curated record.
AUAUCAAUCAGUGGGAAGCGAGUUUUGACAUCUGUUGUAGCAGUACCCAUCUCUCUCCCCGGUCUGCAGAGUCUCGAAUAAUGGCCUCCUCAGCGACUGGGACUCGGAACGUCGUCGCGGUGCCGUACCCGGGCCGCGGCCACAUCAACCCCAUGCUCGCCGUGUGCCGCCUGCUCGUCGCCGCGGACGGCGCCCUCACCGUCACCGUCGUCGUCACCGAGGAGUGGCACGCGCUGCUGGCCUCCGCGCCCACGCUGCCGGACCGCCUGCGCUUCGCCACCAUCCCCAACGACGUCAUCCCCCCCGAGCGCAGCCGUGGGGUCGACCACGCCGCCUUCUUCGAGGCAGUCAGCGUCAAGAUGGCGGAGGCCGUCGGGCAGCUGCUCGGCCGGCUAGUGCUGGAGCUACAGCCGAGGCCGGAGGGCAUCGUGGUCGACACCUACCUGACAUGGGGGGUUGCGGUGGGCACGCGGUGCCGGAUACCGGUGUGCUCGCUGUGGACCCAGCCGGCCACCUUCUUCUUGGCGCUCUACCACCUAGACCUGUGGUCGUCGGGUGAUGAACAUGAGCGCGAUGAAGAAUUAAGCACCAAGUCCAUGGAUCAGUAUGUGUCGUGCCUCUCAUCAGUAAGAAUGUCUGAUCUCAUGGUCUUCAGCCGAUGGAAGCGGCACAUGAAGAUAACAGCGGAGGCGUUCGUGAAAGUACGUAAAGCGCAGUGUCUCCUCCUCACCUCCUUCCACGAGCUUGAACCCCGUGCCAUCAACACAACAGCAGAGCUACUUCCGUUCCCCGUAUAUCCAAUCGGCCCUGUACACAUGCAGCCGGACGGGAACACGGGCAGGAUCCAGGACGAGGAGCACCGUGACUGGCUCGACGCGCAGCCAGAGAAGUCGGUGAUGUACGUCUCGUUCGGCAGCUACGCUUCCAUGCCGCACUCGCAGUUCCAAGAGAUCGCCAUGGGGCUGCUUGACGCUGGAGUCAAGUUCUUCUGGAUGGCACGGGACAAGGCCCCUGAGCUGCGGGAGAAGUGUGGCGACAAGGGGCUGGCGGUGCCGUGGUGUGACCAGCAGGAGGUGCUGCGCCACCCCUCCGUCGGCGGCUUCCUCAGCCACUGCGGGUGGAACUCGGUGCUCGAGGCCGUGUGCGCCGGAGUGCCGGUGAUUGGCUUCCCCGUCGCGUGGGAUCAGCUGGUGAACGCCCGGAUGGUCGCCGACGAAUGGAAGGUCGGCAUCGACCUGAGGGAGCAGAGGGGGGAGGAUGGGUCUGUGAGCAGGGCCGCCAUCUCGGAUGCCGCGAGGAAGCUGAUGGAUUCGGAUUCUGCUGUUGGCCAAGAGAUGAGGAAAAGAGCCGCACAGCUGCGCGAGGUUUCCCGUAGCGCGGUCCGGGAAGGCGGCUCGUCGCAUCGUUCGUUCAGCGGUUUCCUCGAGGAUCUCGCCGAGGGAAGGUUGGAGGUGGCUGAAAGUUCUCAUUGACUGAUGGCACUUCAUUUAGUCCACUGCGCUGGAUGGGUGUCGCGAGCGCACGUGGGAGAGCCGUCCGAUGCGCCCGAUAGCUCCGACUGCGCGGGAUCCAGCCCGACCAGGUGCCAUUAUGAGAAUAGGCGUGACGUGUGGUGUGUGGUGGGCCCGGGCUGCAUUAAUUCAGGUGAAACCGCCCACACCGACCGCUCCUCUUGUUCGAAACUGCCCCAUCGCCCUCGUCCCCUUUUCAUUCGAACUUCUCCCUCUCCUCCCUCUCAUCUAGCAACGACGCACGGCGCGAGGUUCUGCGGUUGUGGAUCCCGCACGGAGUCGCCGGUGUGGGAGGCCGUGAGCACGGCGAGUCGCCGGCUACAGGCGGAGAAUGGCUCUGAAAAGCAAAAGGGCCGCGGGAAGAACUGUUGGUGAAAAUGAGGGAGAAGAGGUGGUGGCUCAAACAACAAGGAGCAAUGUUGGACGCAAGCAUGGGCAGACAGAUGAGGGUCCUGUCUGGGGUGGUCGGGCAGGGAAACGGGCCACCAAUUCCGCCCCUCGUGAUGAAGGAGGGAGGCAUCCGAAACGUGCGAAGAAAGUCAAGCACAUGGUAUUUUUUUAUGAAAAACUUGAAAGAAGGGUGGCAUCUGAUUCUUUCUUUUUGAAAUAUGUAAUGCUCAAUCAGCAUAUCAUUUGUAUGCACUCCUAUCUUUGAUAAGCAGCAGAAUAGCAGUAUAGCAGUUGCCUAGUUUUGUACUAGCAGUUGCAGUUCGAUAUAGUUCUAGUUGCUCA